UACGGGAGGCAGCAGUGGGGAAUAUUGCACAAUGGGCGCAAGCCUGAUGCAGCCAUGCCGCGUGUAUGAAGAAGGCCUUCGGGUUGUAAAGUACUUUCAGUCGUGAGGAAGGUGUUAAGGUUAAUAACCUUAGCAAUUGACGUUAGCGACAGAAGAAGCACCGGCUAACUCCGUGCCAGCAGCCACGGUAAUACGGAGGGUGCGAGCGUUAAUCGGAAUUACUGGGCGUAAAGGGCACGCAGGCGGUUAAUUAAGUUGGAUGUGAAAUCCCCGGGCUUAACCUGGGAAUGGCAUUCAAGACUGGUUAGCUAGAGCCUUGUAGAGGGGGUAGAAUUCCAUGUGUAGCGGUGAAAUGCGUAGAGAUGUGGAGGAAUACCGGUGGCGAAGGCGGCCCCUGGACAAAGACUGACGCUCAUGUGCGAAAGCGUGGGGAGCGAAACAGGGAUUAGAUACC
RNAcentral lists this ribosomal RNA (454 nucleotides) under uncultured bacterium. RNAcentral describes it as "bacterial SSU rRNA". It matches the Rfam family "Bacterial small subunit ribosomal RNA", at positions 340 to 786 of the family's 1533-position model. The record is from RNAcentral.